Long non-coding RNA from Manduca sexta (tobacco hornworm), 833 nucleotides. RefSeq lists it as uncharacterized. The transcript has 3 exons. NCBI's taxonomy places the organism in Eukaryota, Metazoa, Arthropoda, Insecta, Lepidoptera, Sphingidae. The record is from RefSeq and is a predicted model, not a curated record.
CACAUUAGCCGAUGUCCAAUGUCUAUGAGUCAUGUGUUUUAUCGCUUGAUGCGAGUUUUUUUCAUACUUGCAUGGCGUAUUAUAUUGAAAUAGUAGAGCAGGCGCAAGUACACCACACAUGGGGAAAAAUUAUUGUCAUAGUUGCACAUCUGACUACCCCUUCUGGGUAAAAGCGUGAUGUGAGAUUGCUUAGAGCAGACGUAUCUACGCUGUAUAUCUGGACACGGCUCGUAUCGGCCUAGUCAAAGCACUGCGGCAUACAAAUGAGCUAUUAUCUUCCUUACAAUACCAAUAAAUUUGCUUAGUAUUACAAAUUUAUUCACAGACUUCUUUACGAACGUGUUUACAGAGUGGGAGCAUUUCCCCAAGACAAUAGACUAACUUUAGCUUGCAACUCCAUGAUGUCCGUUUUCGGAACAAAAAGUAUGAACGGAUAUAGAUAUUGUAAGAUUUCUUUUAUAAUGAAAAUUGUUUCGAUAAAAUAACGUGUAAACAUACUCUCAUUCAGCUUUAUAAAAUGAUAUAAAUAUGAAAUAUUCUUAUAAAUUUAAAUUAUUUUGCUCAAGUAUUGAAUAGUAAUUUAUAAAACAUGAAUGUCGUGGACAGCUAUUGUCAAGACAAGCAUGAAAUCAGAGAUACGGCUCACAAAUGGCGUAAAAUUGAACAAAUUGUGUUUUCAAUGAAAAAUACCAGUUGGCAAGAUGGUGUGCACGAUUACACAUCUGUUAUUGUUUACAGGCGUAUGUUUCAAGUCUGUCUACAGCGAAUGCGAUGCUAGGUGUUCUGGCAACAGCUGUAAUGCAGGGGUAAAUAUUUAAUUAUUCAACUAGAUA